RNAcentral lists this ribosomal RNA (621 nucleotides) under Clostridioides difficile. Its description in RNAcentral is "partial 23S ribosomal RNA". It matches the Rfam family "Bacterial large subunit ribosomal RNA", at positions 2179 to 2798 of the family's 2925-position model. The record is from RNAcentral. Lineage: Bacteria; Bacillati; Bacillota; Clostridia; Peptostreptococcales; Peptostreptococcaceae.
GGCGGAGCCAUCCUUGGGAUACCACCCUUGUAGUACUGGGACUCUAACCAUAGGCCAUGAAUCUGGUCUUGGGACACUGUCAGGUGGGCAGUUUGACUGGGGCGGUCGCCUCCCAAAAGGUAACGGAGGCGCUCAAAGGUUCUCUCAGUACGGUCGGAAAUCGUACGUAGAGUGUAAAGGCAAAAGAGAGCUUGAUUGCAAGACAUACAGGUCGAGCAAGGAUGAAAAUCGGACUUAGUGAUCCGGUGGUUCUGCGUGGAAGGGCCAUCGCUCAACGGAUAAAAGCUACCCUGGGGAUAACAGGCUUAUCUCCCCCAAGAGUCCACAUCGACGGGGAGGUUUGGCACCUCGAUGUCGGCUCAUCACAUCCUGGGGCUGUAGUAGGUCCCAAGGGUUGGGCUGUUCGCCCAUUAAAGUGGUACGCGAGCUGGGUUCAGAACGUCGUGAGACAGUUCGGUCCCUAUCCGUCGCAGGCGUAGGAAAUUUGAGAAGACCUGUCCUUAGUACGAGAGGACCGGGAUGGACGUACCUCUGGUGUACCAGUUGUUCUGCCAAGGGCAUGGCUGGGUAGCUAUGUACGGAAUGGAUAAGCGCUGAAAGCAUCUAAGCGCGAAGCCAACU